Carya illinoinensis is the source of this 108-nucleotide small nucleolar RNA. The record is from RefSeq and is a predicted model, not a curated record. Lineage: Eukaryota; Viridiplantae; Streptophyta; Magnoliopsida; Fagales; Juglandaceae.
AAUCCAUGUUGUGGGUAAUGUCGAACCAAGUCUUUGUUACCUCUCCCACGCUUCAUAGAGUGACUCAAAAUCAUUUUGCUUGAACUGACCAAUCUCACUCCUGAGUUG